CCUACGGGUUGCACCAGUGGGGAAUAUUGCACAAUGGGCGCAAGCCUGAUGCAGCCAUGCCGCGUGUAUGAAGAAGGCCUUCGGGUUGUAAAGUACUCUCAGCGGGGAGGAAGGUGUUGUGGUUAAUAACCACAGCAAUUGACGUUACCCGCAGAAGAAGCGCCGGCUAACUCCGUGCCAGCAGCCGCGGUAAUACGGAGGGUGCAAGCGUUAAUCGGAAUUACUGGGCGUAUAGCGCGCGCAGGCGGUCUGUCAAGUCGGAUGUGAAAUCCCCGGGCUCAACCUGGGAACUGCAUUCGAAACUGGCAGGCUAGAGUCUUGUAGAGGGGGGUAGAAAUCCAGGUGUAGCGGUGAAAUGCGUAGAGAUCUGGAGGAAUACCGGUGGCGAAGGCGGCCCCCUGGACAAUGACUGACGCUCAGGUGCGAAAGCGUGGGGAGCAAACAGGAUUAGAUACCCGUGUAGUC
This 465-nucleotide ribosomal RNA is filed under the name uncultured bacterium. RNAcentral's name for it is "bacterial SSU rRNA". It matches the Rfam family "Bacterial small subunit ribosomal RNA", at positions 338 to 795 of the family's 1533-position model. The record is from RNAcentral.